This 348-nucleotide ribosomal RNA is filed under the name Triticum aestivum (bread wheat). RNAcentral's name for it is "partial small subunit ribosomal RNA". Lineage: Eukaryota; Viridiplantae; Streptophyta; Magnoliopsida; Poales; Poaceae. The record is from RNAcentral.
AUGAGCGCCUCUGAAAGGUGCACCGUCUUUGACAACUUUCUCGCCGACCCCAGGUACACCUUUGCAGGCUUCUCCAUCGAUGGCGACAAAACCAGGCUAGAGCGCGUCAAACUAGAGAAGAAGAUCACCGACGACGAGCACAGGCGCUGGGCCACCCUGCCUCUGUCCAUGAGGCACAUCGAGUACGCGGAAAAGGACGCCUAUGCAGCAACAAACACGAGAGAGCAGAGGAGAGUCAUGGCGGAUGCACCUCUAUACAAGCAACAACCGCACGUACACCAGGGAGCUCCACGACAUCCACCUCCAUGGCAAUCACAAGCUCCAUGUCGUUUGCACAAGCAAGGGUAA